This 255-nucleotide ribosomal RNA is filed under the name uncultured bacterium. Its description in RNAcentral is "partial 16S ribosomal RNA". It matches the Rfam family "Bacterial small subunit ribosomal RNA", at positions 524 to 776 of the family's 1533-position model. The record is from RNAcentral.
UACGUAGGGUGCAAGCGUUGUCCGGAAUUAUUGGGCGUAAAGAGCUCGUAGGCGGUUUGUCGCGUCUGCUGUGAAAACGCGAGGCUCAACCUCGCGCCUGCAGUGGGUACGGGGCAGACUAGAGUGUGGUAGGGGGAGACUGGAAUUCCUGGUGUAGCGGUGGAAUGCGCAGAUAUCAGGAGGAACACCGAUGGCGAAGGCAGGUCUCUGGGCCAUUACUGACACUGAGAAGCGAAAGCAUGGGGAGCGAACGGG